Podarcis lilfordi (Lilford's wall lizard) is the source of this 80-nucleotide non-coding RNA. The record is from the annotation of a GenBank genome assembly. NCBI's taxonomy places the organism in Eukaryota, Metazoa, Chordata, Lepidosauria, Squamata, Lacertidae.
GCCAUGGCUUAGUGGUACAGAGCAUGUGUGUUGUGCACAGAAGGUCCUGGGUUCAAUACUGGGCAUUCCCAGGUCGGGCU